RNAcentral lists this ribosomal RNA (412 nucleotides) under uncultured microorganism. Its description in RNAcentral is "bacterial SSU rRNA". It matches the Rfam family "Bacterial small subunit ribosomal RNA", at positions 9 to 420 of the family's 1533-position model. The record is from RNAcentral.
GAGUUUGAUCUUGGCUCAGAUUGAACGCUGGCGGCAUGCCUUACACAUGCAAGUCGAACGGCAGCAUGAUCUAGCUUGCUAGAUUGAUGGCGAGUGGCGAACGGGUGAGUAAUACAUCGGAACGUGCCCUGUAGUGGGGAUAACUAGUCGAAAGAUUAGCUAAUACCGCAUACGACCUGAGGGUGAAAGUGGGGGACCGCAAGGCCUCAUGCUAUAGGAGCGGCCGAUGUCUGAUUAGCUAGUUGGUGGGUAAAGGCCCACCAAGGCGACGAUCAGUAGCUGGUCUGAGAGGACGAUCAGCCACACUGGGACUGAGACACGGCCCAGACUCCUACGGGAGGCAGCAGUGGGGAAUUUGGACAAUGGGCGAAAGCCUGAUCCAGCAAUGCCGCGUGUGUGAAGAAGGCCUCGG